UGAGACGAAAAACCCGAGUUUCGGGUUCGGGUUCGAGUUCGAGAAUUUUGUGCCGGGUUAUCUCACGGGUACCGGCAAAAAAAUAAAAUUACAAAAAUACCCUUGAUAUUUAAUAUAUUUACAAAAACUACCCCUAACCCUAAUUCACCCUAACUUUCUCUCUGACGAAUCGUGGCCUGCCUCUGCGCCUCCUCUUCACUGUCUUCAGAACAGAUCUCUUCGUUCUUCAGGACAACUCUCUCGCUCUCAGUCUCUCUCAGCUUCUACGUCGGUCGGCUCGGCUCUGCUCCGUCGUUUCUUCGUCUCCGUCGUUCGGCUCGCUUCUCCUCUGUCUCCGCCAUCGUUCGCAUCUCGGUCUCUCUCCGUCUGCUCUGUCUCUGUCGUUCGGCUCUACUCGGUCUCCGUCGUUCGGCUCUGCUCCGUCGUUUCUUCGUCUCCGUCAUUCAGCUCGCUUCUCCUCUGUUUCCGCCAUCGUUCGCCUCUUGGUCUCUCUCCGUCUGCUCGGUCUCUAUCAUCUAUUAUUUCUUCUUUGGCAGACAACUCAAACACAGAGGACAACGUUAUGUUUGGAUGUGUUUGGAUUGGAUAUGUUUGGAUGUGGUUGAACAUAUAAAUUUAAAUUUUGGACUUUGUUGAACUUAUGAAUUUUAUAUUUUUUGAUGUUUUUGGAUAUGUUUGGCUGCUGUUGAACUUAUGGUGGAACCUAUGGUGCAUUUUGGAAGUUGGAUUUUAUGUUAUUGAUGUAUUAAUUUUAUAGAUUUGACCA
This is a long non-coding RNA of Tarenaya hassleriana, 766 nucleotides long. RefSeq lists it as uncharacterized. The record is from RefSeq and is a predicted model, not a curated record. NCBI's taxonomy places the organism in Eukaryota, Viridiplantae, Streptophyta, Magnoliopsida, Brassicales, Cleomaceae. The transcript has 2 exons.